GAUGAACGCUAGCGGCAGGCCUAACACAUGCAAGUCGAGGGGCAGCACAGAAACAGCAAUGUUUUGGUGGCGACCGGCGGACGGGUGCGUAACGCGUACGCAACCUACCUUUAACAGGGGGAUAACGGAGAGAAAUUUCCACUAAUACCCCAUAACAUCGGUCAAGGCAUCUUGAUUGGUUGAAAACUCCGGUGGUUAAAGAUGGGCAUGCGUUGUAUUAGGUAGUUGGUGAGGUAAUGGCUCACCAAGCCUACGAUACAUAGGGGGACUGAGAGGUUAGCCCCCCACACUGGUACUGAGACACGGACCAGACUCCUACGGGAGGCAGCAGUGAGGAAUAUUGGUCAAUGGGGGCAACCCUGAACCAGCCAUGCCGCGUGCAGGAAGACGGCUCUAUGAGUUGUAAACUGCUUUUAAACAGGGAUAAAGCACAGUAUGUAUACUGUGUUGAAGGUACUGUAAGAAUAAGGAUCGGCUAACUCCGUGCCAGCCGCCGCAGUAA
This 502-nucleotide ribosomal RNA is filed under the name uncultured bacterium. Its description in RNAcentral is "partial 16S ribosomal RNA". It matches the Rfam family "Bacterial small subunit ribosomal RNA", at positions 28 to 523 of the family's 1533-position model. The record is from RNAcentral.